AACGAACGCUGGCGGCAUGCCUAACACAUGCAAGUCGAACGAGACCUUCGGGUCUAGUGGCGCACGGGUGCGUAACGCGUGGGAACCUGCCCUUAGGUUCGGAAUAACUCCCCGAAAGGGGUGCUAAUACCGGAUAAUGUCUUCGGACCAAAGAUUUAUCGCCUUUGGAUGUUCCCGCGUUGGAUUAGCUAGUUGGUAGGGUAAAAGCCUACCAAGGCGACGAUCCAUAGCUGGUCUGAGAGGAUGAUCAGCCACACUGGGACUGAGACACGGCCCAGACUCCUACGGGAGGCAGCAGUGGGGAAUAGUGGACAAUGGGCGAAAGCCUGAUCCAGCAAUGCCGCGUGAGUGAUGAAGGCCUUAGGGUUGUAAAGCUCUUUUACCCGGGAUGAUAAUGACAGUACCGGGAGAAUAAGCUACGGCUAACUCCGUG
RNAcentral lists this ribosomal RNA (433 nucleotides) under uncultured bacterium. RNAcentral's name for it is "partial 16S ribosomal RNA". It matches the Rfam family "Bacterial small subunit ribosomal RNA", at positions 29 to 507 of the family's 1533-position model. The record is from RNAcentral.